GACGAACGCUGGCGGCGUGCUUAACACAUGCAAGUCGAACGGUAAGGCCCUUCGGGUACGACGAGUGGCGAACGGGUGAGUAACACGUGGGUGAUCUGCCCUGCACUUCGGGAUAAGCCUGGGAAACUGGGUCUAAUACCGGAUAGGACUCCUGGCUUCAUGGUUGGGGGUGUAAAGCUUUGCGGUGUGGGAUGGGCCCGCGGCCUAUCAGCUUGUUGGUGGGGUAAUGGCCUACCAAGGCGACGACGGGUAGCCGGCCUGAGAGGGUGACCGGCCACACUGGGACUGAGAUACGGCCCAGACUCCUACGGGAGGCAGCAGUGGGGAAUAUUGCACAAUGGGCGCAAGCCUGAUGCAGCGACGCCGCG
Molecule: ribosomal RNA, 368 nt
Filed under: uncultured bacterium
Lineage: Bacteria
Description: bacterial SSU rRNA
Rfam family: Bacterial small subunit ribosomal RNA
Source: RNAcentral